AGAAACUCAUCACGGACCUGUGCAGUCAAAUUCUCUGAUCCAGAGAACCCACCAGAGUUGGCAGACUCUAGUCUGCCCCUAGAGUACUUACUCUAGGGGCAGAGUAAGUACUUGGCCAUCAUGGUGAACAACAGUCACAGUCCCUGUCCUUCAUGGGGCUCAUGGUCUAGAGGAGGGGACAGACAUUAAGCAAGUAAGGAAACCAGUGGGACACAUAAUUACAAAGUGUACUGAAUGCUAUGAAGAACAAGGUAAUGUGGGAGAAAAAGACUUGUGGGCAAGGGACUUACUUUAGAAUGUGUAGUCAAAAGGCCCCCAAUUAACGCUAAAACAGAACUGACUGAGGCAGCCAGGUCACAAGUCAGGAGAAAAGCAUGUGCAAAGGCUGUGUGAAUGGAAGGGAAAAAAUAUCUCUGUGAAUGCAAAAGAGAGAGUGAGGUAGAAAGUGGCUCAUGAUAUAGCUGGAGAUGGAAGCAAGGGAUAGAUGACCCGGGGCCCUGAGGCUGUGUUAAAAGUUGAACUUUAUCCUCAGUGUAAUUGGGGCAAUAUUAGUGGGUUUAAGAAAAGGAAUCACAUGGCUCAAUGCUCUAUUCUGGUCACUCUGGCGACCACAUGGAGAAUGGAACACUGGGGAGCAGCAUGGGAACAAGAGACCAGUCCUCCGGUUUAAGAGGACCUCCUCAAGGCUUUCAUCUGGUUCCUGCUGGACUGGGGAGAAGACGUGGGAAGCUCUUGACCUGACCCUGGCCUCUGCUCCUUUAUCCUGUGCUAUUUCCUGUCUCCUGUUUUCUCUGCGGGAGCCAAUCUUGUUCACAUAUUUCAAAAAGUGGGAGCCUUCGCAGAGAGGGAGUGUGGAACCCGGGACAACGGGGGAGGGUAAGAAGGAACACAGCCCACUUUAUAUGUAAAUAGAACGUUAACUAUCAGAAAUCAUUGUGGUAAUCAUAAACUUAACAUGCUGGAGUGUGAUUUUUCAGGCAUUUUGAAACACUUGAAAACCACUUAGCUCAAACACAGAACAACCCAGAAAGAAAGGGCAGCUGCCUCCACAGCAUUUCCUAACUUGUAACGUACUUUUGCAGACAUGAUUUCACUUCCUAUUAACCUUUGGUAAAUUCAAGUCCUCCACUGUGACCAAAGCAGCUCCCCAAAUUUACCCCAAAGCAACUGCAAGAUGAAAAAUAGACCUCACCCCGACUUAUCUCUUUUACCAGCUCCGUUCCUUUGGUAGCAGAAAUAUGGCACCCAUGGUAAGUAGAGUCGCAAGGAUCUGUCUGGGCUCCACAGUCCUGUCCUGGGCAAUGGGAGUACCAAUGACCUUGGCUGCGGGCACAGGAUACAGGGGUGUUGUAUCCUGCGGACAUCUGCCAACCCUACUCCAACCUAGCCCAGCACCUUGAUGCAUAGCAGUAAAGGGCCACUUCCGCUUCGAUGUGGAAGGCAGUUUUGCUGAGUGGCCUUGCAGUUCAAAGGUAAAUACACUUGCUCUCCAAUUCAUCCCAGAACGCUCUCUCUUUUUUUUUUAAGAUGUUAUUUACCUUACCCAGAGAGAGACUGAGCACAAGCAAGGGGAGCAGUAGGCAAAAGGAGAAGGAGGAGCAGGCUCUCUGCUGAGCAGCUGGACUUGAUCAUGGACCCCAGGAUUAUGACCCGAGUCAAAGGCAGAUGCUUAACCAACUGAGCCACCCAGGUGCCCCCAUUCCAGGACUCUUUAACCCACGUGUGUGUCUGCAUCUGAGUUUGUACACAGAAGAAAAAAAAAUCUGUUUAUUUGCAAAAGGCCCACCUUAAAUACAAGCAGGCACUCAUGGGUAUUAUCAGAGCUCCUACUCCUAGCCUGAGACAGCUAGCUAGUAAGGGACACAGCUAGGAUUUGGAUCUGGUAUAUCGUGUGAUUAACUUAACUGCUACACGGAGCUGGGAACUGAGUACCAUUAGCAGUCAGGCAGACCACGUAAAUGCGUGAAAUGCUGGGUGGAACAAACUAGAGAGUAGGAAGAGUGGGCAAAUAGAUUCUGCGUGCCAAUCUGCAGGCACUCAACAAACUGCUUUCGUUCUUCAAAAAAAAAAAAAAAAAAAUCUGUUAGACACCUGUCAACAGCCAAUAUACUGUUAGUGUAAAAUACCACUAACUGCCACAUUUGAAAGCAUUUUGAC
RNAcentral lists this long non-coding RNA (2157 nucleotides) under Mustela putorius furo (domestic ferret). RNAcentral's name for it is "lncRNA (ENSMPUG00000027186.1)". The record is from RNAcentral. Lineage: Eukaryota; Metazoa; Chordata; Mammalia; Carnivora; Mustelidae.